RNAcentral lists this transfer RNA (75 nucleotides) under Olavius algarvensis Gamma 3 endosymbiont. It matches the Rfam family "tRNA". Rfam says of the family: Transfer RNA (tRNA) molecules are approximately 80 nucleotides in length. Their secondary structure includes four short double-helical elements and three loops (D, anti-codon, and T loops). Further hydrogen bonds mediate the characteristic L-shaped molecular structure. tRNAs have two regions of fundamental functional importance: the anti-codon, which is responsible for specific mRNA codon recognition, and the 3' end, to which the tRNAs corresponding amino acid is attached (by aminoacyl-tRNA synthetases). tRNAs cope with the degeneracy of the genetic code in two manners: having more than one tRNA (with a specific anti-codon) for a particular amino acid; and 'wobble' base-pairing, i.e. permitting non-standard base-pairing at the 3rd anti-codon position. The record is from RNAcentral. RNAcentral also lists the same sequence under 3 other names. Lineage: Bacteria; Pseudomonadati; Pseudomonadota; Gammaproteobacteria.
UGGGCCGUCGCCAAGUGGUAAGGCACCAGGUUUUGAUCCUGGCAUUCGUUGGUUCGAAUCCAGCCGGCCCAGCCA